GAUGAAGAACGUAGCGAAAUGCGAUAAAUAAUGUGAAUUGCAGAAUUCAGUGAAUCAUCGAGUCUUUGAACGCACAUUGCGCCCCCUGGUAUUCCGGGGGGCAUGCCUGUCCGAGCGUCAUUGCUGCCCUCAAGCACGGCUUGUGUGUUGGGCCCCCGUCCCCCCCUCCCGGGGGACGGGCCCGAAAGGCAGCGGCGGCACCGCGUCCGGUCCUCGAGCGUAUGGGGCUUUGUCACCCGCUCUGUAGGCCCGGCCGGCGCCUGCCGACCAGCAUCAAUCUUUUUUCAGGUUGACCUCGGAUCAGGUAGGGAUACCCGCUGAACUUAAGCAUAUCAAUAAGCGGAGGA
RNAcentral lists this unclassified non-coding RNA (347 nucleotides) under soil metagenome. Its description in RNAcentral is "partial contains 5.8S ribosomal RNA, internal transcribed spacer 2, and large subunit ribosomal RNA". The stretch from base 1 to 120 matches the Rfam family "5.8S ribosomal RNA", at positions 35 to 154 of the family's 154-position model. The record is from RNAcentral.